This is a long non-coding RNA of Brassica oleracea var. oleracea, 1371 nucleotides long. RefSeq lists it as uncharacterized. The record is from RefSeq and is a predicted model, not a curated record. The transcript has 5 exons. Lineage: Eukaryota; Viridiplantae; Streptophyta; Magnoliopsida; Brassicales; Brassicaceae.
GCUUGCAGAUUUGACUGGAGAGCUAAUGAGGAUGGCGAUUGGUAGAAUAUCAGAUAGUGAAGUCGAGUUCGCGCAGAGGAUUUUUCAGUUUGUCAGACAGAUUCACAGGGAACUGUUGCUGGUCGUGCCUUAGAUGGAUGAUAGUUAUGACAUGAAGUCAAAGAUGGAAGUGAUGCUUCAAAGUGUGAUCAAAAUUGAGAAUGCUUGCUUUAGCGCUCAUGUGCGUGGAUCAGAGUAUAUUCCGCUGCUUGGAGAUGAUGCACCAACGUCCUUCUUAUUGGGAGGUGCUGAUGUUGAAUGAUUAAGAAGUGAGCUCUUUUAUCGUGAGAACUAGGAUCACUUAGUAUGGAUGCUGCUGAGGAACUUUCAAAGCAGAGGACUCUGAGAUCUCUUUGUUGCAAGACGUUUUGAGUAUGAAUGGCAAAACAAAAUGUAGAAGUUUUUUUCUUUUGUCACAAUAUUUUCUUUAUCGCCAGCCAGUAGCUUACAUUUGGAACUAAAGUCAAUGGAGUCUGACGAUUGCAUGAGAAAACAAUCAGGGCGUCGUCGCAAGUGUCAACUGUGGAUCCGACGUGGGAUGGUUCAAGAGACUGAGAACUCAAGUGGUGCUAUUGGAGCUAUGCUUUCUGCUGAUGCUGCUACGGAUUGUGGUUUAAGGAGGAGAAUGUACUAGGAAACAAGUCCAGAAGAGAUGAAUGUGCACAUGAGCAUAAGAACGGUUCCUUCAUUCUUAGGAGAAACUGAUGAAAACAUAUUUGAAGAAAUCUGCAAGGUUCUACAAAAGCAAGAUUGCGUCAAGGCAUAGUUAGUGGUAUCUUUUUCGUAGUUUCUUUCUUCGUUCUCUUCGCUUCUUAUGCAACCAUUUUGUAUGUAGGUUUUAAUAUCCCAUCAAACAAUGACUUAAAUUCUGCUCUUUUGUUUUUUCUGUUCAAACGUUAUCUUUGGCUGGAGAGAGCGGAACCGGGAAACCAACAGUAAUUGAGCUGCUGCCGAAGUUUUACAAUCCUGAUGAGGUCAUCACUUUUGAUGGAUUUGAGAUUAAUACCUUCAGAUGGAAUGGCCACCGCAGCAACCAGGUAUGGUGAGCCAAGAACCAUAUCUGUACAGUGAAACUAUCAGAGAAAACAUUGCUUGCAGAAAAAAGAGGAGAUGCUUCUUAAACCAAUGUCGUAUAUGCAACUGAUAUACCUAAUGGUCAUGGCAUCGUUAAUGGAUAACAACAUGGCUAUGAUACAACGAUGCUUAGACAGACCGUGUGGUUCAAUAUACAGUGGACAGGAUCAUGGUUUACACAUCGGUUAUCAACAAUCAAGAACUCAUGUAUCAACGUAGAGAAAAGAAAGAAAGAGAUUUUGAUUGAUAUAAAAAAAA